CAACUUAAUCAAUCUGUGAUUGAUUCCUGGCAUUUCUCAUCAUCAUCUGUAGUCCCUUUUACCUGGUGAAGCAGAGGCCCAGGGUCCACUGUUGCCAUAAAAACACCCACAGAAGGAUUUGUGGCACAUAACAGGCUUUCAUCUUGCUGAGACAAGAAAAGAAAUAACCACCAAUUCCUGACCUAGGUCAGUCAGCACACAGUUUAUUUUGCCUUGGGAGACAUCAUGAAGGAGACCAGCAUGGAGACCAGCUGAGAUACUGCAGGAGCAUAUGAGGAGCCAGUUGGAAUGACUUUUAAUCCCUUUUCUCAUUUAGUCCUGAGGUUAAAAGGUGUUGUUCAUCCCAAGGGAGCUCUGAAGAGAAAGGAUGGUGGAGCCUUGGACUGCAGGGAGUCUCGUGCUGUUCCCUAAACACUCUCAAAGUGUUCAUGAGAUGCAGCCUUUGCCACAGUUGAUACCAAAGACCUUCCUGCAAAUUAU
This is a long non-coding RNA of Chiroxiphia lanceolata (lance-tailed manakin), 480 nucleotides long. RefSeq lists it as uncharacterized. NCBI's taxonomy places the organism in Eukaryota, Metazoa, Chordata, Aves, Passeriformes, Pipridae. The transcript has 4 exons. The record is from RefSeq and is a predicted model, not a curated record.